Molecule: ribosomal RNA, 216 nt
Filed under: Glomeromycotina sp.
Lineage: Eukaryota; Fungi; Glomeromycota
Description: partial small subunit ribosomal RNA
Rfam family: Eukaryotic small subunit ribosomal RNA (bases 40-216)
Source: RNAcentral
GGGUCAGUAGGUUGGUCGUGCCACCGGUACGUACUGGUCUCACUGAUUCCUCCUUCCUGAAGAACCGUAAUGCCUUUAAUUUGGUGUUGCGGGGAAACAGGACUGUUACUGUGAAAAAAUUAGAGUGUUUAAAGCAAGCUAACGCUUGAAUACAUUAGCAUGGAAUAAUGAAAUAGGACGAUCGAUCCUAUUUUGUUGGUUUCUAGGAUUGACGUA